This 4252-nucleotide long non-coding RNA is filed under the name Lathyrus oleraceus (garden pea). RNAcentral's name for it is "Pisum sativum (pea) long non-coding RNA (PSAT_LNC029863)". The record is from RNAcentral. Lineage: Eukaryota; Viridiplantae; Streptophyta; Magnoliopsida; Fabales; Fabaceae.
GUGAAAAUUAUGUUGAGCCAUUUUCAUUGACUUGUGAAGUUUGACUAUGUGUUUGGGCCUUGGUCAAGGUGGAUUUGUCUUUUGUUGGAUUAAAAUCAUUGGAUUUAAGGGAUUGAUGAAAUGCACAUUUCAUCUCCCAAAAUGAAUGAAUGAUUUUAAUUUGAUAAAAUUCCUUCCAUGACCAAUUUUGUUUGUCUCAUUUCCCCUCCCUCUUCAACUUCAAUCCCUUUUUAUCCCAUCCCUUCCAUUGGCCAAUGAAAUGUCAAUAUCCUAAGGCUAAUUGGUUCAUUAAUAACUUUGUGUUAGAUGAACCAAUACAAGUAUGGAUGAGAUUAGGUCCUUCCUUUGAUCAUUUUAUUUUUGUGUGUGGUAUGUUUUAGGAUUAUGACUCAUGAUACCAUAUCUCUAACAUGCAUUAACACCAAAAUUUCUAUUGCCCGACCUCAGAUAGUUGUGACUUCUACAUAAGUCCAAUUACGAUUGCUUAACAUAGCGCUAAAUUUUGAUCCAAAGACAUAGCAUUCUAGUAAGUGAGAUUGUAAGUCUCCCCCCUUUCAUGGUAUUGUGUGGAAACUUGGCCUUUUUCCCUUCCUUUGGAAGAUGUCUUGGUUCAAAGAUCCAUGCUUGUGAAUAGAGGGUCGAGUGUUCUCCAAAGAAUGACUUAAACAAUUGAAAAGCAAAACUCCACUAACAUCUAAUCAACUAACAUUUGACUAACUUUUAUUGUCUUGAUCUUAAUUUCAAGUCAUUUACUUUAUGCAAUUUAAAUUCAAGUCGUUUACCAUUCCAUUUGCCAUUUUACAUAUCAUUUAACUUGUUUAUGUUUAUGCAGUUUUCACUUUGCUCACUUGAGCCAUAUAUAGUGAUUGUAUAUAUUUGUUUGUGUAUCAUGUUUGUGUUUAUGGUCUUAGGACCUUAAAAUACCUAAUAAACAACAAAAAACCUUAAAAAAUGAUUGUGUGGACUGUUGGAUUUGAUCUGAGUUUUGGAGUUAGAAUUAGGCAACAUUCCCUAUGCAAAAGGACUUGGCCAAUGCCAACAAUUCUGAAACCAAGUUCUUGUGAUUUGAAUCAUCAUAUGAUGUACGUAUUGGGAUCCACUUGAGUUCAUCUGCUAUAUGAUCCUGAUGCAAAUGUUACUUUGAACCUGUGUGUAGUGCCUUAUUCUAAGCUAUUCAAGGAGUAUGUCAUCUGAUACAUGGGGACGACUAUGAAGAAGACUAUGAAGUUGCUAGCUUUGAUGUAGCUAUCUUUAUUUGAUGCCUUACUCUUCAUUAUGUUACUUGCUUAUUGAUAUUGCUUGAUUUAAAGUCCAAAUAAAAAGUGGGUUUCUAUAUGACAUUCUUGUCUAUUGGAUUCCAUCCCGUUGGUCAGAUCUUUUCAACUCUUAACUUUUAAAUUUUUGCUUAGGAUUAGUCUCUUCAUCUCCUCCCACUUAUUAAAUUUCAAAUCUCUUCCCCUUUUCAAAACCUUCUUUGCUUGUGAUUUCUAAACUUAGACUUUAUUGCAAACUAGAAACUUUGGCCUUAUGCCAUUGCAUUUUUAAACUCUUUUCUCAAUCAAACAUGUAAAUGAAUCUAAUCAUAUUGACUUAAAAUUUCAAAAGACAAAAAGAACUAACAUUCAUUAAAACUUUUGGGCCCUUUGUGCCUCUUUUAAACUUAACCUUUUGUUAAAAGCAAUUCACUCACUUUCAAUUGAUACCACAAACUACGAGGUUUUGAUCCCUCAUUUUAUGUUGGUACGUAGGCACAAGUCCGAAGGUCUUGUCAAACACAAAAAUAUAAUUAAUGAAUUCUUUUCUCAUCCCCACACUUUAUUUAUUGCAAACAUCUUUUAUACCAAAACACAUACACACAUAAAAAAAGGGCUCCCUAGGAGUACCUAGGACACUUUAGGUGCUAACACCUUCCCUCUGCGUAACCAACCCCCUUACCUGUACUCUCUGGCAUUUUAUUAGUUUUAAUUUGAAAACUUUUUAUCCUUGGGUUUUGUUCGUAUUUUUCCCUUUUCCUUUGGAAACAAUAAAAGCGCGGUGGCGACUCUGGUUUUAUUGACGUUAAGUUUAUCCAUAGCUUAAUGGUCAUGAAUUUACUGCUACACUCAUUCAUUGUUUCCAACGACCUUCACUGAUCCAAAUUUCAUUUAUUCAUUUUGGUCAGAUCAUGGCAUGAUCACUAGGUUUCGCUAUCAUUCAUUCAUUUAGAAUAUUGGUUCCAAUUAGAAACAUGAAUUUUUAACCAUUAAAGCCUAUUUCAUCAUCCUUUGCAUCAGUUGACUUUGGGUCGACUGUUGACUUUUUGGUUAACUAGUUGACCAAAGUCAACUUACCACACUUUCGUCCCCCAAUUGUCAGGACAUUGCUCUUAUUGUCCACCGUUCAUCUUUAACCCAUGUCCAUUAUCUUUUCAAACAUCAUGAUCCAUUUUAAACUAGAGUUAUUUUCCCACCUAUCUCAUCUUCAAAUUUUAUUCAUGUUAAACCAUUUCGAACUUUGUUCAUUGUUAGCCAUAAUUCAUGUUGUUGUCCAUUUCUAAAUCAUGUCCAUAAACCUUUCAAACCAAAACUAAUUGCAUUACUUUCAAAUAUUCAAAUUCCAUGCAUAAACCACAAAUUACAAUAAUCCCAUAAACCAUUUUUAAUUCAAAGUGAAAACAUUCCCAUUUGAAUUCCCAUUACAAAACCCAUUCAUUCAAAUCUUUAAAACGUUUACAAGCCAUUCUCAUACCAAAUACCAUAUAUCAUUCUGAUUCAAUUCCAAAACCCUACAUUCAAUUCAAGUUUACAAUUCAUAAGACAAUUUCAAUAAUCGUUACGUAAUCAAUACAUAAUCAUGUAUCAUUCAAUCUUUAUUUUUUUACACAAACAUUUCCAUCAUAAAUCAAAUUCCACUUACGUACAUAUAUUCAGAUUCGUUUCCAAUAUUCAAAUUAAAAAUCAUUCCCAUUACAUUUCAAAUUGAUAGUUACAAAAAUUAAAACAUUACUUAUCUAGAUCGAAACCCCCCUUUCAUGGACAAUCCACAUGAGUUCCCCUCCAAUUCAUCAUCAUGGCAUAUCCACAUGCACAGCCGAUAUAAACCAAGCCAUUCAGCCCAAUUGCAAUAGAAAAAGGCCGAUAAAAACAAUUCCAAUAAAAGUACAUUCAACCACUAAAUUCAUUCAAUAAAUUACAACAUCGAAUCCAAAUUGUUCCACUGUUAGUCUGCGGGAUUCUUUGCUUCUUGAAGCAGCAUCAAGGUCUGAAUUAUCUACAGGACUGGAGAAAAAAGCUACAAAGAGUAGUAGUCCAUGCAGCAACAUCAAGGUACUGAAAAUGGAGUUGGAAAUGAGAAAAUUCAAGGGUAUCAUGGUUCUGCUUCUUUGUCUAAUGCAGAAAGAAAUUGAUUUUAAAGGCAUUAACAGGGAAGAAAGAAACAUCUACCUGGAUUCUAGUAGGAGUCAAAGUUAACAAAUCAUUGGACAUGAACUGAUGUGCUGGGAUUCGCCUUUUGUAUCGUAACUUGACUCAUUCAGUGAACAUUCCGCCUUUGACUUCUAGGAGUGUGUUUAGCGAGCUGAAAGAAAUGUCACCAUUCACUUAAAAUCCCUUACCAAGUCCAAAUAAGUCUAACCUUGAUGAAGCAGUGUCGAAUUCUGUCACCGGUGGGGGAUUCUUAUUUUCACAAUGGUUGCAAUCCUAAAGUUGAUCCAUUUUUUUAACCACUUUAUAAGCCACAAGAAUGAAUGCAUAACAGAAUCCAACUGUCAAAUAAUAUAACAGAAAAUCAACCAACUGAUUCUAACAACUUAACUGAAUCCUAACGGUAGAAUUCCAACAGAACCCCCAACCGAUUCCGGACUCUCUUUCUCAGUCCCAACUAACCUGUAACGGAAUCUCGAACCGCCUUAACAGAAUGGAAUAACUUGGGACCAAUUGGAUGGAUCCCUAUAUAAUUCAUUUGAGAGGAUGAUGAAGAAAAAAAAUGACAGAAACCAACCCUGAACCUGCUAACUAAUUCUUCACCCUCAUGAGGAUCAAACGCCUCUUCCCGAGCUGAAUCAGCUCUAACUGCUGCGAUAAUUCUUUUCUAACCACUUGCAACCAACACACCCUAAUUCAUAUGCCAUGAGAAGAAAACCUUCACUCUACGAUCUAAAACCACCACCUCUUGACAUAACCUCGUCAAACCCUCAUCACACGCUCACACGCAUCCAACAACAGAAGCAGUACAAAAAAAAGAGGAAGAAGUUACAACGACGAGGAAAAGAAAG